GCAGCUUCGGUUAUGCUUGUACUAAAUUUCCAGCGAUAUAGAGAAGAUUAGCAUGGCCCCUGUACAAGGAUGACACGCAAGUUCGUGAAGCUUUCUAUAUUUCU
Non-coding RNA from Octopus bimaculoides (California two-spot octopus), 104 nucleotides. The record is from Rfam. Lineage: Eukaryota; Metazoa; Mollusca; Cephalopoda; Octopoda; Octopodidae.